CGGCAUUUGUAAAGUCUUCAAUUCUUGUGGUUGGAGUUUCAACACUUUUCGGUCGUUUUGAGGAACUCCCAAAAAAACUCUGGAUGGAUAUUUGUCUCUUCAUAAUUCAGUUGUUGAUCAUUUUUCUCAUUAAUUUAUAAUUGCAAUUUUUGUUUUAACAUCGCCGUAUCUAUAUAUCAACAAACAGCACGUGUUUAUAGACAAUAAACAUCUAUUUUUAUUUAUUU
Molecule: long non-coding RNA, 227 nt
Filed under: Mytilus galloprovincialis (Mediterranean mussel)
Lineage: Eukaryota; Metazoa; Mollusca; Bivalvia; Mytilida; Mytilidae
Source: RNAcentral